AAUAUUGCACAAUGGAGGGAACUCUGAUGCAGCAACGCCGCGUGGGGGAUGACGGCCUUCGGGUUGUAAACCCCUUUCAGUAGGGAAGAAGCGAGAGUGACGGUACCUGCAGAAGAAGCGCCGGCUAACUACGUGCCAGCAGCCGCGGUAAUACGUAGGGCGCAAGCGUUGUCCGGAAUUAUUGGGCGUAAAGAGCUUGUAGGUGGCUUGUCGCGUCUGCCGUGAAAACCCGAGGCUCAACCUCGGGCGUGCGGUGGGUACGGGCAGGCUAGAGUGUGGUAGGGGAGACUGGAACUCCUGGUGUAGCGGUGAAAUGCGCAGAUAUCAGGAAGAACACCGAUGGCGAAGGCAGGUCUCUGGGCCAUUACUGACACUGAGAAGCGAAAGCAUGGGUAGCGAACA
Molecule: ribosomal RNA, 402 nt
Filed under: uncultured bacterium
Lineage: Bacteria
Description: partial 16S ribosomal RNA
Rfam family: Bacterial small subunit ribosomal RNA
Source: RNAcentral